Molecule: ribosomal RNA, 429 nt
Filed under: Bacteroidota bacterium
Lineage: Bacteria; Pseudomonadati; Bacteroidota
Description: Bacteroidetes bacterium partial 16S ribosomal RNA
Rfam family: Bacterial small subunit ribosomal RNA
Source: RNAcentral
UAGGGAAUCUUCGGCAAUGGGGGGAACCCUGUCCGAGCAACGCCGCGUGAGUGAAGAAGGUUUUCGGAUCGUAAAGCUCUGUUGUUAAGGAAGAACGAGUGUGAGAAUGGAAAGUUCAUACUGUGACGGUACUUAACCAGAAAGGGACGGCUAACUACGUGCCAGCAGCCGCGGUAAUACGUAGGUCCCGAGCGUUGUCCGGAUUUAUUGGGCGUAAAGCGAGCGCAGGCGGUUAGAUAAGUCUGAAGUUAAAGGCAGUGGCUCAACCAUUGUAGGCUUUGGAAACUGUUUAACUUGAGUGCAGAAGGGGAGAGUGGAAUUCCAUGUGUAGCGGUGAAAUGCGUAGAUAUAUGGAGGAACACCGGUGGCGAAAGCGGCUCUCUGGUCUGUAACUGACGCUGAGGCUCGAAAGCGUGGGGAGCGAACAGG